GGCGGCAGGCCUCAAACAUGCAAGUCUAGGGGGUGUAGCAAUACAUCACCGGCGGACGGGUGCGUAACGCGUGGGAAUGUACCUAUUGGUUCGGAACAACUGAGGGAAACUUCAGCUAAUACCGAAUGUGCCCGUAAGGGGAAAGAUUUAUCGCCAAUGGAUCAGCCCGCGUUCGAUUAGCUAGUUGGUGAGGUAAUGGCUCACCAAGGCGACGAUCGAUAGCUGUUCUGAGAGGAAGAUCAGCCACACUGGGACUGAGACACGGCCCAGACUCCUACGGGAGGCAGCAGUUGGGAAUCUUGGACAAUGGGGGAAACCCUGAUCCAGCCAUGCCGCGUGAGUGAUGAAGGCCUUCGGGUUGUAAAACUCUUUCGCGCACGACGAUAAUGACGGUAGUGCGAGAAGAAGCUCUGGCUAACUUCCUGCCAGCAGCCGCGGUAAUACGAAGGGGGCUAGCGUUGUUCGGAAUUACUGGGCGUNAAACGCGCGCAGGCGGCUAUCCAAGUCAGUGGUGAAAGCCCGGA
Molecule: ribosomal RNA, 524 nt
Filed under: uncultured Alphaproteobacteria bacterium
Lineage: Bacteria; Pseudomonadati; Pseudomonadota; Alphaproteobacteria
Description: bacterial SSU rRNA
Rfam family: Bacterial small subunit ribosomal RNA
Source: RNAcentral